GGUUAGCACUCUGGACUUUGAAUCC
RNAcentral lists this non-coding RNA (25 nucleotides) under Drosophila melanogaster (fruit fly). The record is from RNAcentral. Lineage: Eukaryota; Metazoa; Arthropoda; Insecta; Diptera; Drosophilidae. RNAcentral also lists the same sequence under 5 other names.